UACGAAGGGGGCUAGCGUUGUUCGGAUUUACUGGGCGUAAAGCGCACGUAGGCGGAUUGUUAAGUCAGGGGUGAAAUCCUGGAGCUCAACUCCAGAACUGCCUUUGAUACUGGCAAUCUAGAGUCCGGAAGAGGUGAGUGGAACUCCUAGUGUAGAGGUGGAAUUCGUAGAUAUUAGGAAGAACACCAGUGGCGAAGGCGGCUCACUGGUCCGGUACUGACGCUGAGGUGCGAAAGCGUGGGGAGCAAACAGGAUUAGAAACCCGCGUAGUCC
RNAcentral lists this ribosomal RNA (273 nucleotides) under uncultured bacterium. RNAcentral describes it as "partial 16S ribosomal RNA". It matches the Rfam family "Bacterial small subunit ribosomal RNA", at positions 524 to 796 of the family's 1533-position model. The record is from RNAcentral.